Molecule: long non-coding RNA, 510 nt
Organism: Capsella rubella
Lineage: Eukaryota; Viridiplantae; Streptophyta; Magnoliopsida; Brassicales; Brassicaceae
Exons: 2
Source: RefSeq, a predicted model, not a curated record
UAGGAUUUACUGCCACCACCUUACAUUCCAAUAAGAUAAGGUGCCUCUCUUUGAAUUGACCUGUGUUGGUGUGUGUACAAAUAUUACUGGAGGUUAGUUUGGUUCUUCAGGUCAUUAAGAACCAAGUACAACUUACAGGUAACAAAUACUCAAAUGACGCAUGUGUGGGUAAAUCCAUCUGGUCUAUGUGGCGUUUCUAAUUUGAUGUAACGAUCUUUGAUGCUGGAGGCUCCACGUUGGGAUUUUGUAACUCACUUCUUCUGUCACUUAUGUGCCAUUUUCCAAGAAUACAGAGAGAUUCAAGAACAUAGCAGCGGGUCAUAUCCUUCCGACAUGGAGAUGGCUAUCACUAAUGGCCCCUUUGCUCAAACCAUGGAAUAAGCUAAUUGAUCACUUCUUGUCUCAGAGUUUUUCAGUUUCUUUUGUAGAAGACAUUUUUCUUGUCACCGACUUUUGCAAUGUAUUAGAGAGCUUUGAUGAGUAAAGUAAAACUUUCUAAGGUUAUAAGUU